CUCAAUCCAGGGCACUGUCUCUUCCUUCCUAGCAGCUCAGAAAUUGGCGUUUCUUUCUCAGUCUGGGACACUUUUGCUGAAAAUUCCUUCAUGUGACCCCUUUGUUGCUAAGGCUACAAGUUCCCAUCCCGACACACAAAUCUUUUCCACUCCAGGAGCAGCUCAAGUCCUGGGCAGAAGUCAUGACUUAAGAGACUUACUUCAAACUCUUUGGAGUGCCUCCCUGCUAAAUACCUGCUUAAGUCUAGAGGUUCAAAUGAAGUCCUCCCCCCGCCAUCGUGCGUCACCCCCCUCUUCUCUCCCGAGUUUGGAGGACUCUAACCUUGAUUUUCCAGCUUUGAGCUCCCUCUGGAAGCGCAGCAGCAAAACACUAUCAAGAAACUGCCUCCUGGCUAACAUUCUCAGCAAACCCUCAUGGCUAUUUACGGAAAUGAGCAGCCCAACAAGAAAAGUGACUGGAUGGGGUUAGGCAACCUGGGUGCAUUCUUCAAAGCAUUCCAGAGGAGUAAACAAGAGCAAGAGAGAUCAUGAUUCACAGAUCGUUUACACAGACCCGGAGACCAACACGUCUUUGGACUGAAAAAGAGGAGCAAUCUGCAGCCUCCAGCCUCACCCAGUUGUGUUAUCAAUCGCACUUACAAAGGUAAACCUGCUUCUUAGAUGUCACAACACAGUUCCUCC
RNAcentral lists this long non-coding RNA (681 nucleotides) under Zonotrichia albicollis (white-throated sparrow). RNAcentral's name for it is "lncRNA (ENSZALG00000010747.1)". Lineage: Eukaryota; Metazoa; Chordata; Aves; Passeriformes; Passerellidae. The record is from RNAcentral.